CGUACUCAAUUUAAAAGAAGAAAAAGAGAGAAAAAAAGGCUGAAGUGGCAAAGCAUCAGGUACAUCCUUUUUUCUUUUCUUUUCGGCCACUCCCAUUUUUCUUCUUGCUUACCCUUCUCGCUUCU
Molecule: non-coding RNA, 125 nt
Filed under: Palpitomonas bilix
Lineage: Eukaryota
Source: RNAcentral